Molecule: long non-coding RNA, 530 nt
Filed under: Homo sapiens (human)
Lineage: Eukaryota; Metazoa; Chordata; Mammalia; Primates; Hominidae
Description: non-protein coding lnc-TMPRSS15-24:1
Source: RNAcentral
UUUCAAUACUUCACAAUUUCUACUGUGUUAACUGGGUGCUGACCCCUGGCCCCUAAAAUGCUAAAAACAGAGGGACCUUCUCAUUCUCUCUUACUUAUUCCUUAAUCUAUCUAACAGUUUGUCUCAGGGAGGUUUUACUCAUUGCAGAUGGCCACAUGGUAGCAGGUGUCUUAUAUGGUAGGAGCAGGAUAAAGACAGAGAGAAAGGCGGUGCCACACGUUUUUAAACAACCAGAUCUCGCGAGAUUCUUCAGUCUCUUAGCUGUUCAAAAUACUAAUAUUCAUUACUGAAGAUCUCACUUUUUACCAGUGUAAGAUAAUGGCAACAUAUAUAAAAUCCUAAUGUCUUCUCUUGUCCUGACACCAGAAAGUCAGCAGCACAGAGAUUUUUAAUUUUUUUUCCCACUGUUUCGGUUUAAAUCUCCUUACGUCUUGGAAGCAAGCACAUGUGUAGAGCUUCUCAGAAUUAAUUUAAAAAAUACUGUCUUCUCUUAGGUUUGCUAUUUUAAAAAAUGAGGCUGAGGGAAAAAU